This is a long non-coding RNA of Hippopotamus amphibius kiboko, 336 nucleotides long. RefSeq lists it as uncharacterized. The record is from RefSeq and is a predicted model, not a curated record. The transcript has 3 exons. NCBI's taxonomy places the organism in Eukaryota, Metazoa, Chordata, Mammalia, Artiodactyla, Hippopotamidae.
UGGAGCAAUUCACCCAUCAAGUCCGACUGCACAUCUACCACUCCCCUCUCAGGAGGCUCCAAAGUGAACCAUCAGUCCUGGAAAGCCACGGGAGCUAAGCCAGCAGAAUCAUGAUUCAGCAAGUUGGGGUUCAGGGAGGCACCAGGGAUGCACACAGAGAGAGGAAAGACCACGUGAGCACAGAGCAAUGAGAUGGCCAACCACAAGCCCAGGAGAGAGGCCUCAGAAGAAACCAAUCCUGUCAGCACAUCGGUCAUGAACUUUCAGCCUCCACAACAGUGAAAAGCAGCCACCCAGCAGACAGAAAGAUAAGACUGAAACGGAAGGCAGCAGCCC